CUGGAGGAGAGCUUGUGGGAGCCAAGGAGCACCUUGGACAUCUGGAGUCUGGCAGGAGUGAUGACGGGUGGAGGGGCUAGCUCGAGGCAGGGCUGGUGGGGCCUGAGGCCAGUGAGGAGUGUGGAGUAGGCGCCCAGGCAUCGUGCAGACAGGGCGACAUCAGCUGGGGACGAUGGGCCUGAGCUAGGGCUGGAAAGAAGGGGGAGCCAGGCAUUCAUCCCGGUCACUUUUGGUUACAGGACGUGGCAGCUGGUUGGACGAGGGGAGCUGGUGGGCAGGGUUUGAUCCCAGGGCCUGGGCAACGGAGGUGUAGCUGGCAGCAGCGGGCAGGUGAGGACCCCAUCUGCCGGGCAGGCAGGGGUGAGGAGCGCAGCGGGCGGCGAGCGGGAGGCACUGGCCUCCAGAGCCCGUGGCCAAGGCGGGCCUCGCGGGCGGCGACGGAGCCGGGAUCGGUGCCUCAGCGUUCGGGCUGGAGACGAGGCCAGGUCUCCAGCUGGGGUGGACGUGCCCACCAGCUGCCGAAGGCCAAGACGCCAGGUCCGGUGGACGUGACAAGCAGGACAUGACAUGGUCCGGUGUGACGGCGAGGACAGAGGAGGCGCGUCCGGCCUUCCUGAACACCUUAGGCUGGUGGGGCUGCGGCAAGAAGCGGGUCUGUUUCUUUACUUCCUCCACGGAGUCGGCACACUAUGGCUGCCCUCUGGGCUCCCAGAACCCACAACAUGAAAGAAAUGGUGCUACCCAGCUCAAGCCUGGGCCUUUGAAUCCGGACACAAAACCCUCUAGCUUGGAAAUGAAUAUGCUGCACUUUACAACCACUGCACUACCUGACUCAGGAAUCGGCUCUGGAAGGUGAAGCUAGAGGAACCAGACCUCAUCAGCCCAACAUCAAAGACACCAUCGGAACAGCAGCGCCCGCAGCACCCACCCCGCACCGGCGACUCCAUCUUCAUGGCCACCCCCUGCGGCGGACGGUUGACCACCAGCCACCACAUCAUCCCAGAGCUGAGCUCCUCCAGCGGGAUGACGCCGUCCCCACCACCUCCCUCUUCUUCUUUUUCAUCCUUCUGUCUCUUUGUUUCUGAGCUUUCCUGUCUUUCCUUUUUUCUGAGAGAUUCAAAGCCUCCACGACUCUGUUUCCCCCGUCCCUUCUGAAUUUAAUUUGCACUAAGUCAUUUGCACUGGUUGGAGUUGUGGAGACGGCCUUGAGUCUCAGUACGAGUGUGCGUGAGUGUGAGCCACCUUGGCAAGUGCCUGUGCAGGGCCCGGCCGCCCUCCAUCUGGGCCGGGUGACUGGGCGCCGGCUGUGUGCCCGAGGCCUCACCCUGCCCUCGCCUAGUCUGGAAGCUCCGACCGACAUCACGGAGCAGCCUUCAAGCAUUCCAUUACGCCCCAUCUCGCUCUGUGCCCCUCCCCACCAGGGCUUCAGCAGGAGCCCUGGACUCAUCAUCAAUAAACACUGUUACAGCAAUU
RNAcentral lists this long non-coding RNA (1473 nucleotides) under Homo sapiens (human). RNAcentral's name for it is "HSALNT0361013". Lineage: Eukaryota; Metazoa; Chordata; Mammalia; Primates; Hominidae. The record is from RNAcentral.